This 423-nucleotide ribosomal RNA is filed under the name uncultured bacterium. RNAcentral describes it as "bacterial SSU rRNA". It matches the Rfam family "Bacterial small subunit ribosomal RNA", at positions 355 to 775 of the family's 1533-position model. The record is from RNAcentral.
UAGGGAAUAUUGGUCAAUGGGCGCAAGCCUGAACCAGCCAUGCCGCGUGCAGGAAGACGGCCCUACGGGUUGUAAACUGCUUUUGUCAGGGAAUAAACCCCCGCUCGUGAGCGGGGCUGAAGGUACCUGAAGAAUAAGCAUCGGCUAACUCCGUGCCAGCAGCCGCGGUAAUACGGAGGAUGCAAGCGUUAUCCGGAUUCAUUGGGUUUAAAGGGUGCGCAGGCGGAUUGGUAAGUCAGGGGUGAAAUCCCACAGCUCAACUGUGGAACUGCCUUUGAUACUGUCAGUCUAGAGUAUAGUUGAAGUGGGCGGAAUGUGUCAUGUAGCGGUGAAAUGCUUAGAUAUGACACAGGACACCGAUCGCGAAGGCAGCUCGCUAAGCUAUAACUGACGCUCAUGCACGAAAGCGUGGGGAUCAAACAG